GCCGGGGUAGCUCAGUCGGUAGAGCAUCUGAUUCGUCAUCAGGGGGUCAGGUGGUUCAACUUCUCUCUCCGGCA
RNAcentral lists this transfer RNA (74 nucleotides) under marine bacterium B5-7. Its description in RNAcentral is "tRNA-Thr". It matches the Rfam family "tRNA". From Rfam's summary of the family: Transfer RNA (tRNA) molecules are approximately 80 nucleotides in length. The record is from RNAcentral. Lineage: Bacteria; Pseudomonadati; Pseudomonadota; Gammaproteobacteria.